UGGGGAAUUUUGCACAAUGGAGGAAACUCUGAUGCAGCGACGCCGCGUGAGUGAUGAAGAUCUUCGGAUUGUAAAACUCUGUCCUUAGUGAAGAUAAUGACAGUAACUAAGAAGCAAGCCCUGGCUAAAUACGUGCCAGCAGCCACGGUAAUACGUAUGGGGCAAGCGUUGUCCGGAAUUAUUGGGCGUAAAGGGUACGUAGGCGGUUUAAUAAGUCCUAAUUAAAAGGCUAUGGCUCAACCAUAGUAUGGUUAGGAAACUGUUGAACUUGAGUAGAUGAGGGGAAAGUGGAAUUCCAUGUGUAGCGGUGAAAUGCGUAGAUAUAUGGAGGAACACCAAUGGCGAAGGCAACUUUCUGGAAUCAAACUGACGCUGAGGUACGAAGGCGUGGGGAGCAAACAGG
RNAcentral lists this ribosomal RNA (403 nucleotides) under Fusobacteriota bacterium. RNAcentral's name for it is "Fusobacteria bacterium partial 16S ribosomal RNA". It matches the Rfam family "Bacterial small subunit ribosomal RNA", at positions 355 to 776 of the family's 1533-position model. Lineage: Bacteria; Fusobacteriati; Fusobacteriota. The record is from RNAcentral.